AAAAAUUCACCUAAUGACAUCAUAUCUUGAAACUUUGACAGUAAAAAGGUUGAUGAAGAAGGGGAUUUUUUUAUUAUAGAGAUAACAUUUCUUCGAACGAAUGAUACAGAUAUUGCACAUACCAAAAAUCAUAUUUGUGGUUAGUCGUGCUUUAAAAUAAUAUUUCUUAUUUCUCAUUUUCCAAAUAUUCAUAUCCUUUCAAGUCAUCACAUGCAUCUUUCCAUUAAAAACUGCAGAUAGUUUGAUGAACAGAACACAAUGGUAUUAUUUCAUCUUUUUUACAACCAUGAGCUAAUCUGGCGAAUCACAUGUAUGCCACUGAUAUAAAGACCUAAAAGUAGAGACAUAUACCUUAGACUUUAAUAAUGUAUUCUUUAAUCAAGUAAAGAUGAGGCAAACCAGUGAUCUGUUAUACAGCUUAUUCAAGAGUCAAGACACAGUAAUCUGUGCAGCUCAAGCUUUGCCUUGACAUUAGCAAGGUGCAUUAACCUAUUCCUAUAAUAAGCAGAAACUUUGCAUGGUCCUAUUAAACUGAAUAAAUCCAAAGUUACUCAAAAAUUACUUCUCCUUUGAAUCAGCUUAUACCACAUGUUUGUGCAAUAAAUCUUUUCAAAUGAUCAGAUCAAAAGCAAUUGAGGCAAACAGAAUCAAUUCCUGCAUAUUUUGUGAAUAGCAAAUCAAACCGGUUAUCCCUCCCUUGUCUAUAUCAAAUUUUAUAGUGUUUUUCAAUGGUUAAGCUAUAAUAGUAUUGAAUCUAAAAUACACAAUUUUUCGUUUGUUUACUUGCAGUCGCAGAAUAUUAAUUGCCAAAUGUGAAUAUCACACGAUAUUUACAAAUGGAAAAUAUUCGAUUCACUUACCGAGAACUAACACGAUUAUGCCCGUUCCAUCUAUAAAUAAUUUCUUUACAUCCCUGUUAUAUUCUUCUAGCUUUCAAAACAUAUUCUUCCGUGUAUGCCAACUCUUUCAUGCUCGACAAUUUAAUAAUAUACAGCCAAAUAUGCUUGACGGCAUUUAGGAAGGCUCACUUUCAAAUUUGAUUUUGAAGUCGUUUUGUUCGUUUCACCACGAUUUUAUAUUUCGCGCAAUCGUAUAUGAACUUUUGUCAGUACUGGAAGACGAUUUUGAGUUAAAUAAACCGAGUUUUCUUGCCAAAAUGAUCAUUUUAGUAAGUUGUAGCGGCAAUUUGUAAUAUAAUUUAUAGUGUUUGUUUACGCUCGCGUUCCUGAGUCCCAGGCCCCCAAGCAAAAUUUAGUACGACGGAUUUUUUUUCCAAAAAGGUCAAAAUUGCCAUGUUUGAGGGCCUAUAUCUCAGAAACUAUUGACCUAAAUAAAAAAAGGUUGAAUAACUUGUUAAAUAACUUUUUGCGCUCUUUUCAAAUCCGUAAAGAUCCCACAAGUGAUAUAGGCACUUUAAUGGGUUAAAGCUUUUCUGUAAAUGUAAAUUUUUUGAACAAUAACUAUGUAAUAGCCGGUACUGUGCUGGGAAUGGAACCUGCUGCCCUACAGGUGAUUCUGAUCAGCUUUUUAACCGUCAAAGGUCCUGAAGCCCUAAGAGUCCAUCGCCCUGACAGUCGAUCAAGCUCUACUGUAACCAAGAGUUCAUGUAUAUAAUACCAGUGUCAUCCUGGGCAGUUUAUUUAAUACACUACCAAUGACACCACCAUGGUAUACAUACAACAACUUGUGGUUACCUCUUGGCAAAAGGGCUCUUUAGGUCAGAGGGCUGCGGUAGAAUUGCAGGGCUGCAGGUUCAAUUCAUGCUGACAGGCUUGUAAUUGUAUUGCACAUGUAUUCAUGAUAUCAUUCUAAUCAUGUAUUCAUGAUAUCAUUCUAAUCAAUUUAGAACUUCAUUAAAAUAUUAUUGGGCGUAAGAGUAUUUCAUUAUAUUAUGCUACAGCAAAUUGUAUUUCCUGCUAUAAUAUACCUUACUUGUAGGGAUAAUAAAUUAUUUUGACUCGAAAAAUGUCUUUAUUGAUUUCUAAAGUUAGUUAAAGACUUUUCUUUACUCCGAUAUAUAGAAGUCAUUUUGUCUCCAAAGGAGUCGACUUGACUCCAAAA
Molecule: non-coding RNA, 2061 nt
Organism: Paramuricea clavata
Lineage: Eukaryota; Metazoa; Cnidaria; Anthozoa; Malacalcyonacea; Plexauridae
Source: the annotation of a GenBank genome assembly